RNAcentral lists this ribosomal RNA (342 nucleotides) under uncultured Caldimonas sp. RNAcentral's name for it is "bacterial SSU rRNA". It matches the Rfam family "Bacterial small subunit ribosomal RNA", at positions 9 to 353 of the family's 1533-position model. The record is from RNAcentral. Lineage: Bacteria; Pseudomonadati; Pseudomonadota; Betaproteobacteria; Burkholderiales; Sphaerotilaceae.
AAGUUUGAUCCUGGCUCAGAUUGAACGCUGGCGGCAUGCUUUGCACAUGCAAGUCGAACGGCAGCGCGGGCUUCGGCCUGGCGGCGAGUGGCGAACGGGUGAGUAAUACAUCGGAACAUGCCCAGUAGUGGGGGAUAGCUCGGCGAAAGCCGGAUUAAUACCGCAUACGACCUGAGGGUGAAAGCGGGGGAUCUUCGGGCCUCGCGCUAUUGGAGCGGCCGAUGGCAGAUUAGCUAGUUGGUGGGGUAAAGGCCUACCAAGGCGACGAUCUGUAGCUGGUCUGAGAGGACGACCAGCCACACUGGGACUGAGACACGGCCCAGACUCCUACGGGAGGCAGCA